RNAcentral lists this transfer RNA (63 nucleotides) under Perotis lugubris. Its description in RNAcentral is "tRNA-Ala". Lineage: Eukaryota; Metazoa; Arthropoda; Insecta; Coleoptera; Buprestidae. The record is from RNAcentral.
AGGAUAAAAGUUUUAUAACAUUUAAUUUGCACUUAAAAGACAUCAGUAAUCUGAUUUAUCUUA